GUUUCCAAAUCAUAUCUAGAAGCCCUCUUUUUUAGACUCAUUUUAAUUAACCAUAUUUUACUGGUUGCCAUGGACUUGUCAUCAUGGUUCAUGCAGGUGACUGGAUAUCACCUGAUAUAUAAAUCAUCUUUUUCUUUUCUUCUUUUUUUCUUUAAGACCUUACUUCCAAGAAAAUACAUGGAAAAUAAAGAAAAAGCACAUAAUUUUGUUACUAAACAGCAAGUAAUUAAAAAAGAAACCAAUAAAGAAAAGGGACAGGCAAAGAAAUUGAUGAAAGGAAAAAGAGUCACUUACAGGAGAGACAGGAGCUGGAGAGGAGGAGGAACGGAAGGAGGUGGGUAAGAAUUGAAAAUGGUAGGCUGAUUUGUAGGAGAGAAAGCAUGAAACUGCAACAAGUGAUCCUACGAACACAAGCCCUAUUCUGCUGAUGCUGAUAUGGUUUCUCCAAGAACUUGAGGCCUUGCUGCUGCUGAUUAUGUUUUCUUCAUCUGAUGGAUUCUUCAUUUUCUUGUUUUCUCCAUCCAAGGAAGUAAGAAAUACAACAAAACAAAACAGUCUUUUUCUUCCUUCUGUAUGGUUUUAGAUUGGUGGAUUUAAUGAGAGCUUCGUAAAAUAUGUGUGUAUAUAUAUAUAUGCCAUCUAUCUGUAAUGCGUUGAAUAUUCUGUGGUGACGACGACCCAAAUGGGUCAUUAAAAGGGACUGUAAUCUUUUCUUUUCUUUUUUGAGAAAGAGAGACUGUAAUCUUUGAUUAAGUAAGAUAGAGAGAGAGGGGCUAACACAAGGAUGAGUAAGUAAUACAAAAAGGGGCCUAGCCAAUCAGAGUUUAGUCGUAUUUAUUUUAUUUAUUUAUUAUUUUGGCAGUUCUUGAGUAAUCUAAACGAAAUAUUUUAUUAA
This 895-nucleotide long non-coding RNA is filed under the name Ricinus communis (castor bean). RNAcentral describes it as "long non-coding RNA (RCOM_LNC003099)". The record is from RNAcentral. Lineage: Eukaryota; Viridiplantae; Streptophyta; Magnoliopsida; Malpighiales; Euphorbiaceae.